UGGCGGACGGGGGAGUAAUGUCUGGGAAACUGCCUGAUGGAGGGGGAUAACUACUGGAAACGGUAGCUAAUACCGCAUAACGUCGCAAGACCAAAGAGGGGGACCUUAGGGCCUCUUGCCAUCGGAUGUGCCCAGAUGGGAUUAGCUAGUAGGUGGGGUAACGGCUCACCUAGGCGACGAUCCCUAGCUGGUCUGAGAGGAUGACCAGCCACACUGGAACUGAGACACGGUCCAG
RNAcentral lists this ribosomal RNA (235 nucleotides) under uncultured bacterium. RNAcentral's name for it is "partial 16S ribosomal RNA". It matches the Rfam family "Bacterial small subunit ribosomal RNA", at positions 96 to 334 of the family's 1533-position model. The record is from RNAcentral.